This 182-nucleotide long non-coding RNA is filed under the name Anas platyrhynchos platyrhynchos (common mallard). RNAcentral describes it as "lncRNA (ENSAPLG00000031128.1)". The record is from RNAcentral. Lineage: Eukaryota; Metazoa; Chordata; Aves; Anseriformes; Anatidae.
ACAGCUGAGCAGAGGUGAGGUUGACCCAUGGACUUUGGAAGCAUCCUCCAGCUCUAAGCUGUAACAUACCAUCUAUUCAAUCCCAUAUUUUUAAGAAAAAUUUCCAAAAACUGCUGGAGAACUAUCUUUCAUCCAGUUUCUUUAGAGCUUCAGUCGCCAAUGCAAACAACCAGUUUUCAAGA